Molecule: transfer RNA, 84 nt
Filed under: Cassytha filiformis
Lineage: Eukaryota; Viridiplantae; Streptophyta; Magnoliopsida; Laurales; Lauraceae
Also listed under: 1 other name
Description: tRNA-Tyr
Rfam family: tRNA
About the family: Transfer RNA (tRNA) molecules are approximately 80 nucleotides in length. Their secondary structure includes four short double-helical elements and three loops (D, anti-codon, and T loops). Further hydrogen bonds mediate the characteristic L-shaped molecular structure. tRNAs have two regions of fundamental functional importance: the anti-codon, which is responsible for specific mRNA codon recognition, and the 3' end, to which the tRNAs corresponding amino acid is attached (by aminoacyl-tRNA synthetases). tRNAs cope with the degeneracy of the genetic code in two manners: having more than one tRNA (with a specific anti-codon) for a particular amino acid; and 'wobble' base-pairing, i.e. permitting non-standard base-pairing at the 3rd anti-codon position.
Source: RNAcentral
GGGCCGAUGCCCGAGGGGUUAAUGGGGACGGACUGUAAAUUCGUUGACGAUAUGUCUACGCUGGUUCAAAUCCAGCUCGGCCCA